AUCUUUAUUUAUGUUAUGCCUUUAAAAGCUCUUUAUAAAUAAAGUCCCUAAUAAAACAUACAUUUCAUCUCCUACUGCUUUUACUAUAUCAGCUUCAUGGACGUUCACCCUCCAGCCUGACAACUUCCAUCUGAAUUCCUCUUUUCUCUUUCCCUCUUUCUCCUCUCUCACAUGCCCACAUACAAGCAUUCCUGAUCAAACAUACAGAGAGGGGCUUAAUGUUUUCUCUCAAUGUUUUCAUGUAAACACACACACACACACACACACACACUCCUCCCUUUGCAUUCAGGCUGUUGGAAUGUCCCACACGUGGUAGUCCAAACUGCUGCACCGCCUCAAUGCAGAUGAAGUAAAAGGAAGGGGGAGUGAACGGUCCUUAUUUUUGGAUGUCUCUCUGACUGCUCCACUCCUCCAUGCUGUGCUGUUGGAUGUUCCUAGUGUAUGGUCAUUUAACGGAUUAGCGCUUCUCUGUUUGUUUUGCUGACCAGUGUUGUGCUAUGUUCAGGGAGGUGAGGCUUGGCCGGACUGGAGUGGAUGAAAUAAAAUGUCACCUCUUCUUCAAGAACGAUCAGUGGACCUUCGACACCAUAUGAGACAAUAUGGCAGACACGGCCAAACAUCGAAACUUUGGAGGACGUCUAGGAAAAAAAGCACCAUAUCAUCAAGGGGAAUAAAAGCAAAAAAGAUGCCAAAAACAGACACCCAAAACCCUACGCAUGCUGCGCGACACAGGGGCGUGAACCUGCAGGACCCAGACGCACAGUCCACUCGAAGCUGCUGUGAGAACUAAAGGCCUGUCAACACUCCAUCAUGGGAGACCACGACACCUUCUCCUCCCUAAAAUCCCACCCUUCACCCUUUCACCUCCCAAGACGGAUAAGGAAAGAGAAAGAAAGAGAAAGGAAUACCAGGAAGAGCUCGAGGAAAACGCCUCACUCGUGCCACAAAGAGAUUUUUCAAGGAAGACUUCUGGUGGACGGGGCUGAAAGCGAACGGACGAUGGACUCUGUCAUGUCUGGCAGUAAAUAUGGAUUCUGUAUUACUUUCAAGUCAACAAGAAUUUCCACCUCAGUUCAUCCUCAUUAUGCAAGCACCAUGUAGAGAUAAAGGAUUGGAAAAGAGAUAAAGGAACACAGAAUGGA
Molecule: non-coding RNA, 1142 nt
Organism: Danio rerio (zebrafish)
Lineage: Eukaryota; Metazoa; Chordata; Actinopteri; Cypriniformes; Danionidae
Source: RefSeq, a predicted model, not a curated record